UACGUAGGUGGCAAGCGUUGUCCGGAUUUACUGGGCGUAAAGGGUGCGUAGGCGGGUUUUUAAGUCAGGGGUGAAAUCCUGGAGCUCAACUCCAGAACUGCCUUUGAUACUGAAGAUCUUGAGUUCGGGAGAGGUGAGUGGAACUGCGAGUGUAGAGGUGAAAUUCGUAGAUAUUCGCAAGAACCCCAGUGGCGAAGUCGGCUCACUGGCCCGAUACUGACGCUGAGGCACGAAAGCGUGGGGAGCAAUCAGG
This 253-nucleotide ribosomal RNA is filed under the name uncultured bacterium. Its description in RNAcentral is "partial 16S ribosomal RNA". It matches the Rfam family "Bacterial small subunit ribosomal RNA", at positions 524 to 776 of the family's 1533-position model. The record is from RNAcentral.